Molecule: long non-coding RNA, 848 nt
Organism: Populus euphratica (Euphrates poplar)
Lineage: Eukaryota; Viridiplantae; Streptophyta; Magnoliopsida; Malpighiales; Salicaceae
Exons: 3
Source: RefSeq, a predicted model, not a curated record
GCCUGCUUUCACUCUAGCCUUGCACACAUUUCAUUUCACAUUCUUUUAACAUGCAUGACUGUUUGACAUAGGAGCCAAAAGUGGAGGAAGAUUGAUACUCUUAAUAAAACUUAAUGCAGACAAACCAAACUGCAUUCAUAUAAUGAAGACGAUAUGUAAGGAAAGUGCUGAUGAGUCAAUUCGAAAGCUGAUGCUGAAUUCUCACAAGUCAACGGAUCUUCAUGAGGUAAGGGGUACUAAACUCAACAUGCUGACUUAGAAAGCAUUAUAUUAUUUGAUAAUAUUGUCUUGAAUGAGAGUUUGGAUGAUCAUGGCCAGCUUAUACUCCAUUUGAUUUCAAAUAAUUGGUCUUGGUUGAUCCAUUUCCAUGUAUUUAACGUGUCUAGAAAAUUCAAUUGUGAAGUAGCAAGAUUCAAUGGGGAGGAGGAUUCCAUAAAUGGAACUAGGAUAAUGUUACUGUUAGUGCCAGUAACGUGUGAUAAUUUUCUCUUGAAUGGGUUGUAAAUAUCGGCCGGGUCGGGGCCUUGUGUGUUUGUGCUUCAACCAAGUCAAUUAUUUGAAACUAGUUAUUGACUGGGCUACAUGGUUUCGAUCGAGCAUGAUGAGCCACUGGAGAUAUGAAAGUGAAGACACAAAUGGAGAAAAAGCUCAGGCUGGGAAACUAUCAACGUGUAGCCCGUCAUUACAUGGGAUAUAAGAUGGCCAUUUUUUUAUUUUUUAUUUAUUUUCCUGGCAUGGUUUUAGCAAUGAUAACUUGGAAACUUGAUAGCUAGCAUGUUUUCACGGUCUAUAGAUGGUUUAAUUCUGUGUCAUGAUUGAGUAUUAUUUAUGUUUCGCAUUAUCUUUCA